GUUUGAAUUAGUUCAUACUUACACAUGCAUGCCUUAAUCUUUGAGACAAGCAUAUGACUACUGGCAGGAUCAACCAAGUAGCAUCCGUCACCGACCCUGCGCACCGAGCUGCCGACGCCCCCCGCGAGGGGAAGCUUUCGAAGGACAUGGCGGCAGGCGUCUUUCCGAGAAACCGAAUCAUCUGAGGGACAGACGGGGAUCUAAGACCCCAUCCCAACCGCGUGCACCGCACUAGCGAGAACAGAACGCGCACGCAGGCCACCAUUGCCGCGCAGAGUGCCGAGACGGGUAGGACCACGGGCGUGUCUUGGAACUCCCCCGGCAAUCCCACUAGGGGACUCCGGAGAGGAAAGGUUGGGGCAAGGCAGGGAUACCACACCAUGGGGUAGGAAACACAGGAGCCGCACAACAGUGGAACGAGCACGGUAGCUCGAACCCACACAUGGAGAGGAUCCAGUGCGCCCGUUCAUUGCGCGAGGCAAGGAGCCAGACAGAACUCAUGACCCACACACCACUCAUCCGCCAACACGGUCCGCAAACCCAGCACUCCCAGACGAACCGCGUCCCGCACGCCAAGACGCGUGCAGGCAAGCGAAAGCAUACGGGAGGGCCGGGCCAACGCCGCUGGGCAGGGUUCAGGGGAAGCGACGAAGAACAUUCAAGGGACAGCCAGAUGCGUGAGGUGCUUCGGGCGAUAGCCGAACAGCCGCACCGUCUUAAGCAACACGCCCAAC
Molecule: non-coding RNA, 734 nt
Organism: Arachis ipaensis
Lineage: Eukaryota; Viridiplantae; Streptophyta; Magnoliopsida; Fabales; Fabaceae
Source: RefSeq, a predicted model, not a curated record